Molecule: non-coding RNA, 29 nt
Filed under: Mus musculus (house mouse)
Lineage: Eukaryota; Metazoa; Chordata; Mammalia; Rodentia; Muridae
Source: RNAcentral
UUGGCAUCUGGUGGCUAUCCAAGAGCAGC